RNAcentral lists this ribosomal RNA (465 nucleotides) under uncultured bacterium. RNAcentral's name for it is "bacterial SSU rRNA". It matches the Rfam family "Bacterial small subunit ribosomal RNA", at positions 338 to 795 of the family's 1533-position model. The record is from RNAcentral.
CCUACGGGUCGCACCAGUGGGGAAUAUUGCACAAUGGGCGCAAGCCUGUUGCAGCCAUGCCGCGUGUAUGAAGAAGGCCUUCGGGUUGUAAAGUACUUUCAGCGGGGAGGAAGGUGUUGUGGUUAAUAACCAUAGCAAUUGACGUUACCCGCAGAAGAAGCACCGGCUAACUCCGUGCCAGCAGCUGCGGUAAUACGGAGGGUGCAAGCGUUAAUCGGAAUUACUGGGCGUAAAGCGCACGCAGGCGGUCUGUCAAGUCGGAUGUGCAAUCCCCGGGCUCAACCUGGGAACUGCAUUCGAAACUGGCAGGCUAGAGUCUUGUAGAGGGGGGUAGAAUUCCAGGUGUAGCGGUGAAAUGCGUAGAGAUCUGGAGGAAUACCGGUGGCGAAGGCGGCCCCCUGGACAAAGACUGACGCUCAGGUGCGAAAGCGUGGGGAGCAAACAGGAUUAGAUACCCCAGUAGUC